Molecule: ribosomal RNA, 253 nt
Filed under: uncultured bacterium
Lineage: Bacteria
Description: partial 16S ribosomal RNA
Rfam family: Bacterial small subunit ribosomal RNA
Source: RNAcentral
GACGUAGGGCGCAAGCGUUGUCCGGAUUUAUUGGGCGUAAAGAGCUCGUAGGCGGUUUGUCGCGUCUGCUGUGAAAACCCGAGGCUCAACCUCGGGCCUGCAGUGGGUACGGGCAGACUAGAGUGCGGUAGGGGAGAUUGGAAUUCCUGGUGUAGCGGUGGAAUGCGCAGAUAUCAGGAGGAACACCGAUGGCGAAGGCAGAUCUCUGGGCCGUAACUGACGCUGAGGAGCGAAAGCAUGGGGAGCGAACAGG